AGUCUGUAAGAGGCAGCACCUGUAACAAAUUUUUUGAUUAUAAAAUUAUAUUUUGAAAUUAUGCAAAUUUAUUGUAUUUUUAAAAUAACUGAUAGCCAGUAUUUGGUAUCGUGUUAUUUCUACUUUCAUUGCUGAUAUUUGCAGUCGUUAUAUGAUUUUAUGCUUCAUAAUGUACUACUCGAUAAAAGACCGUUAUAGUGUGUAUGAAAUCGGAUUUAAUUAAAAGCUUUCUAUAAAAGCAGACCUGCAAGGUUGAGCGAUCAUCAGAAUACAAGAUAUUAGAUAUCAAAAGCGUUUGACAAAAUGAAAUUUGUCUUGCUUGUCUGCGCUUUCCUUUUAAUUGCGAUCGACGCUGUGAACGGUCGUGGCGAAUGUUCCGCGAAGGAAUACGACUAUUGCGCACGAUUUGAUAUAAUGUGUGACUCUCCUAAAUGGAUUAUAGAAUGCACCAAACCUAAAGAACAUAUCAUAUGUAAAUGCAAACUUAAUUUUAGAUGAUUUAAAAUUAACUCUUCUAAAAAUAAACAUUAAUAGACUUAUGUCAAACUAAAUAAUCGGCAUUUCUCAUUUUGUAGCACUCAAAUUCACUAUUUCGAUAAGGCUAUCAAGUUCGAUUAGCAAUUACAUUACAGUAGGCAUAAAACAUUAUUUAAUUAAAAGUUACUUGAUUCGUUUCAAAUCGCACGUUUUAUCCAAUCCUAAAUCAUGUGUAUAAAAGUGAACGCUUAGGACGACGCAGAGUUAGAAUCAAAGAUAUUUCGGUCGCACACGUUCGCUAAGAAGAUUCGACGCGAUGAAGUUUUCCUUAUUCGCGUGCGGUCUCUUUUUGUUCACGAUAAGUGGCGUGAAAUCUCGCGAACAAUGUACCCACGAAGAAUACCAGUCUUGUGAAAUUUAUACACAAAUGUGUGAAUUCCCGAAAUGGAUUUAUAGGAUGCACCAUACGUAACAACGUUCCCGUAUGCGUAUGCAAAGAUACACCUCUUACUGAGCUACGUGAUGACCAGCCGAUUUGGGCCCAUUCACAAGGUCGUUUUUUAAAUAAUGGCAAUUACUGAUAUCAAACUAGGCGAAUGCCACGUACUUGAGUUAUAGAAAAAAAGUGUAAUCUGCAUCAUUCUGAUGCAGAGUAAAUUUCAAAUUUUAAAACGCUGUUUGAUGAUGAAAAUAUCAAUCUUCAUAAUCACCUCCACUGGGUGGUACCGCUGGUGGCGGCGCUUGGGGCUGCUGCGGUGGAGCGGCUGGCGGCGCGAUUCCGGCAUUAAAAUCGCCUAAGCCCUGCGGUUGAUUCACUGCUCCUCUGUACUCGUAGGGAUUGCUCGGAGGUGCUCCGUAAGGUCCACUGGCAUAGCCCUGAGGUGAUCCGUGAAAAGUGUAAGAAGGUUCGAUGACGGUGGGGUUGUACUGCUGCUGCUGCUGGGGUUGUUGAGUUUCUCCGGUAAUCGCCGACAGGGACAGGUUAGGCAGCGACGAGAGUAUCGAGGUGAAAUAACCUUGCUUCUGAGGCUGUUGUUGCUGUUGCUGAGGUGGAGGAGCUUGGGGACUUUGUUCUUGCGGUGAUGAUAAGGUCAGGCUGGGCGAAACGUUGCCUGGUAGCGUCGCCGGUGCCUGGCCUAUGAAACUGUCGAGCUCGGCUGCCGGAACAGGAUCUGGGAGAAAAAUGAAAAAAGAUAUUUUUAGUACGAGCUACGCAAAUGGAAUUUCGCUCUACUUUCAAUUUCGAGACCCACGUCAGUUCCUGCCUUAUCAGAACUCCGGUACGCGUUUCCACCUCGUAGUAAGAUGACGACUUUUCCGCGGAACUGCCUUCGCCGUAUAACCCAAAAGUCUCCGCUGAUAAUUCACGCAAAAUCAAUAUUUAACAGGAUGCCGCCUUUGUAUCCGCGACUCGUAAUGACCGUAAGAUAAUUCGCCCUGAUAAAAAGGCCCAAAUGUGGCCCAAGCAAAAGAAUCUCUCUCUCUCUCUCUCUCUCGAGAGAGAGAGAGAGAGAGAGAGAGAGAGAGAAUCGCUCGCUAUGGGAUUAUUCAGCGUUUCGAGGGAAUUAUUGUUAAGGCGUUCUUACACGCCUUUCGGUAGUAGCGUGUAAGGCUUUGUAUUGAAAAUGCAGAUGAGUUCUAUAGAAGUGAGCGCGCGACAUGCAGAAGAUAAAAGGACACGCGUUAUCUUGAAAAUAGCUCCAAAAUUGUACGACGCAUUUAUUUAAAAAUGAGUAAUUGUUUUGUGUGACAAUGUCUGAGGAUAAUACUAUAUUCUAAAAUAUUGAGAAAAUAAAAAUUACAGGAAUUAAAAAAA
RNAcentral lists this long non-coding RNA (2293 nucleotides) under Nasonia vitripennis (jewel wasp). RNAcentral describes it as "uncharacterized LOC116738578, transcript variant X2". The record is from RNAcentral. Lineage: Eukaryota; Metazoa; Arthropoda; Insecta; Hymenoptera; Pteromalidae.